GGCAUUAAAGAGUUUUAUUAAACUUAAGCUUAGAUCAUUUUGGGGGUUUAGCUCAGUUGGCUAGAGCAUCGGCUUUGCAAGCCGAGGGUCAAGGGUUCGAGUCCCUUAACCUCCAUUGGGCAUGUGUCUUGAAUUGUGAUUCAUUAUGCUUUCAAGUACUUUUAUUAAAGUAGUUAUUGGAAUGUAAAACAGAGUAAUUUAAGAUUUCUGGGUUAAAGUUGGGAUCUGCCUGUUGAUAUUAAUAAGAAUGCUUAGAAGCGAAGGCAAACUUUUGAUAACAAGCGGAUUUGUUGCUCUAUAGUACAAGGAUUGAGCAGUAUUAUAUUUUCCAACAGCCUAUUCUAUAAACGAACUACAUUUAUUACCAGCUUUUAGUUAAGAAUUGAUGUGGAUUUCCAGUUGUGGUGUUUGGGGGGGUAAGCAUUGUAGCGAGCCGUCACCCUUGUUAUCUUUACCAGUAUGUAAGGAUAUUCUGGACAAGACUGUUAAUUAUAAGUUGGAGGAAAGCCAAGUUUGGGCUAAAUCAGCAUGUUUCUUGUGCCCUAGAUUAUAAGCUUUUGCCGCAAUAGUCUAAAAAAGCCAAUUAAAAUACCAUAAAUCAGAUUUC
RNAcentral lists this transfer RNA (607 nucleotides) under Borreliella americana. RNAcentral's name for it is "partial 16S-23S ribosomal RNA intergenic spacer". The stretch from base 42 to 115 matches the Rfam family "tRNA". Lineage: Bacteria; Pseudomonadati; Spirochaetota; Spirochaetia; Spirochaetales; Borreliaceae. The record is from RNAcentral.